GUGCUCAUUUCUGCAGCAUGCAUAUGAAAAUUGGAACACUACAGAGAUUAGGAUGGCCCCUGUGCAAGGAUGACACACCAAAAAAUGUCCUUAUUAAUCUAUAA
Molecule: small nuclear RNA, 104 nt
Organism: Ochotona princeps (American pika)
Lineage: Eukaryota; Metazoa; Chordata; Mammalia; Lagomorpha; Ochotonidae
Source: Ensembl